CCAGACUCCUACGGGAGGCAGCAGUGGGGGAUAUUGCACAAUGGGGGAAACCCUGAUGCAGCGACGCCGCGUGAGUGAAGAAGUAUUUCGGUAUGUAAAGCUCUAUCAGCAGGGAAGAAAAUGACAGUACCUGACCAAGAAGCCCCGGCUAACUACGUGCCAGCAGCCGCGGUAAUACGUAGGGGGCAAGCGUUAUCCGGAUUUACUGGGUGUAAAGGGAGCGUAGACGGUUAUGUAAGUCUGGAGUGAAAGCCCGGGGCCCAACCCCGGGACUGCUUUGGAAACUGUACGGCUGGAGUGCAGGAGAGGUAAGUGGAAUUCCUAGUGUAGCGGUGAAAUGCGUAGAUAUUAGGGGGAACACCAGUGGCGAAGGCGGCCUGCUGGGCUUUUACUGACGCUGAGGCUCGAAAGUGUGGGGAGCAAACAGGAUUAGAUACCCCAGUACAC
Molecule: ribosomal RNA, 447 nt
Filed under: uncultured bacterium
Lineage: Bacteria
Description: bacterial SSU rRNA
Rfam family: Bacterial small subunit ribosomal RNA
Source: RNAcentral